RNAcentral lists this ribosomal RNA (361 nucleotides) under uncultured bacterium. RNAcentral describes it as "partial 16S ribosomal RNA". It matches the Rfam family "Bacterial small subunit ribosomal RNA", at positions 338 to 696 of the family's 1533-position model. The record is from RNAcentral.
CCUACGGGAGGCAGCAGUGAGGAAUCUUGGUCAAUGGCCGGAAGGCUGAACCAGCCAUGCCGCGUGAAGGUCAGUGCCCUUUGGGCGUUACACUUCUUUUGUUCGGGAGCAAUAAUGGUCACGUGUGGCCAGCCGAGAGUACCGUACGAAUAAGCAUCGGCUACCUCUGUGCCAGCAGCCGCGGUCAUACGGGGGAUGCAAGCGUUAUCCUGAUUUUGUGGGUUUAAAGGGUGCAUAGGCUGGGAGGUAAGUCAGCGGUGAAAUGCCCCCGGUCAACGGGGUGAAGUGCAAUUGAUACUGCCUUGCUGGAAUGCGGAUGCGGAGGGAGGAAUGUGUGGUGUAGCGGUGAAAUGCAUAGAGA